Molecule: long non-coding RNA, 3162 nt
Filed under: Hordeum vulgare
Lineage: Eukaryota; Viridiplantae; Streptophyta; Magnoliopsida; Poales; Poaceae
Description: long non-coding RNA (HVUL_LNC012412)
Source: RNAcentral
AACAUCAGAUCUCGCGAGGAGGUAACCGCGCCACCAAAAUCAGAAACCUCUCCCAUAUCAACACAGUUCCCUUCCUAAUCUCGUACUGGGUUCAUCGCAUGCCCGACGGCCGGUGGCGGAGGCAGCACCACGAUCUGAGCAAGGUUAGUUCCCGACGUACUCUCCCAUAACACAUCCUCUCUCGCUCCCUACUUUAUUGAUCUAUGCUCUUAAUCAAUUAACAUCUCCCUGCCACGCAAAUCCGUCUCGUAGGUCGUGGCAACAAUCCUGAGAAUUCAUCUAGUCUGUACCGUGCUCCUUAUCCAAUCUCAUUGCCACAAUUCAUCCCUCCGUAUUGGUUGUCAGCUAUUUUUUCACACACCAAUCGAUAUACACACAGAUCGCGAUUCUAGUUUAAUCUAACAUUGAUUUAUAUGUUCGGCUUACUCAUCGCAAAAGCUACCUUUGUUUAUUAUUGAGAUAUCUUAUGCUUUGCGCUGGGAUUGCCCCUUCCCAUGGAUCCUAUCCAAAUUCUUAUCUUUGGUGUCUCUCCCGGAUUGAAUUGUAAUUUUUCGAAUCUGGGUGUGCUAUAUGCUGUAUAGCAUGUUUCGCUGUCUUAGGGAAGGGGAAUUAGAGGUGGGAGUUUACUACAGGGUUGGGCUUGGGAAAGAGACUUUGACUUGUACACUAUAAGAUUUGAUUUGACUACUUGUGAGAAUCGAGAGGGAGUGUGGGCACAUUAGACAUGAAAAAGCAUUAGUCUGUUGUUGCACAUAAAAUUUAGACUAAUUAAAUACGGCAGCCCUGAUCGUGUUUAAGCAUAUUCAUACAAUUAGCACAAAACACACACUCACCUGAUUUUAAAUCUCAUAUGACUGGAUUCAUGUUUGGCAUCUGGGUUGAUCUAAAGGGAAAAGUUACAAGAAUUAGAAUUCGUAGGCACAAUCAAAUAAGAUGGAUGCGAAUUAAAAUAAUAAACUAGCCCAUUAGAUGGUACUAAUCGUGGUAAGAGGUUACUUGAGCUAUAUAAUUAUAUGCAUAUUCAGCUAGGACAGUGAUCAGUAGUGAUGAGAAAUCUAUGAAUAGAUUAAAUGAUUGGAGGGUGUGGUGAGCACAUUAAUAUCUCAUGGUUUGAGCUAUAAAUUCCAAAUGUGGGCAGUCUUGUUUACACCUGUUGUCUAUUGUUCUUGCGGUUAUGAGUAUCAUUUGAUUGGUUUCAGUGUAGGAGUACGGUAGUCAAGAUGUCAGUUAGUGAACUCGCUCUUCAGUAGCACAGGCUAGUAAGUGAAUUAGCAACCACUAAAACCAAAUAGAUCCGAUGCAAAUUACAUUUCAGAGUAAUGGUUUCAUAUCUUCGUUCAAUGUUUCACUAUUAAAAACAAAUUAUUUAGCGAACUCACCCUUCACUAACACAAACCAACUCCUACUCAUUACGGAGUUGCUACAUUUAUUCAGUGAGGAUUAAGGAAGAAACAUUUUCAGGCUUAUUCAGUUGAUUGUAGCGACAAUAUUUACUCCAAUACGUGAUUGUUUCAGCUAAAAUCUGAAGUAGUCAUGUUCACAUCUGAGGAGAUGGCUAUCAUAAGGUCAAGUGCCACCAUAUAGUCUCGAUCUCUGAAGAUAUCAGUAUGGUCAGUCUUAAUCAGUACCACCAGCUCCUAUUUAUGCAGUAUCUAAUCCUUUGAGCUAUAUUGCAAUUGUGGAUAAUCUUGUUACACCUUUUGUCUAUUGUUCUAGUGGUUGUGAGUAUCAUUUGAUUAUACCUACUCUGUCCUAAAUUAACGUUGGCCAUUGUCACGUUCCAGCAGAUUUGUCACGGACAAGAAUCAGCGUUGUUGAAUCCAAUGAACAAUAUAUGAUGGAAGAACCAAUCGAACAUCAUAAUUCUGCUGAAAAAGAUGUCAAAUCAUAUAAUGUCCAUGAAAGAACUACUAAUGACAAAUAAAUAUUCACAUAUUGUGUGAUGUUGAUGCGGAUGAAAAUGAAGAUGGUAAGUUUAUUGCUCAUUACUUACUGUUUGCAAUUAAAUAUAUAAUACCCAAAACUUGAUGUAUAUCAUGUUAUCCUAGAACAAAGAACUAUGGUUCAUAAUGGUGGUAGUGUUUCCAUGUUUAUAUGUUUAGUUGUUGCUAUCAAAAUGUUGUCCAGAAACAAGAAACUUUUGAUCAGAAUUUCAGUGCAUGGCAAUGGGAAAUAUAUUUUCAUGCAUAUAAGGUAUAUUGCCAUUACCAUAUACAAUAUGUUCCAAAUAUCUUGCUCUGAUGGUCGUCUUGCUACCAUAAUGUUGUUCAGAACAAAGAAACUUUGCUUCAGAAUGUCGGCACACGAUAGGGAGAACCAAAGUAUGGUGCAAACAAGUUGGUAUUUUUCAUAAUCACAUACAAAAUUAUGUUCAAACUAUAGUGCUAGCUUCUUUAUUUGUUUAUUACGUCUUCUUUACUAUCACAAUGUUGUCCAGACCAAAACAACAACAAAAGGUCUGAUGUAGACAGUAAGGGUGCAUUAAACUACCUGUAAAAGUGCUCAAAUUCAUUUCAUAUGUUGCUCUAUUUUGCCUUUGUUUUUUCAUGGGUGUUGAGGCUAGUUAUGACCAUGGUAACAUUGAGUUUCUCCAACAUGCAGAAACUGAAGUAUUAUUGAAGAGCCCGAAAAACCAUAAUAUGACGUAGUUCUUGCUACAAUUAUAUGUUCUGAUCCUAAAUUUUAAACUUGACGGUGCUGGAAUUAGGAAUUACUUUUGGGCCGUGCAUGUCGAUAUGGAGAUAAAACACGGAUUGCAUGGACUUCAACCUUUGUAUGUGACUAAACCUUGCCUCUAUUACUAGCAUUGUGUUAAUGCAUUGUAUUUUAACAGUUAUUUUUUUCGGUUUGUAGAUUCAAGAGAUAACUGGAUGAGUAUGCACGUGUGUGGCAAGUACACUUCAAUCAUGAUGUUGAUGUUCUGGUUCAUGAUGAUGAUGGAUGCUUUCAUUUUUAGUUGUAGGGAUGUUGACGUUCAUGUUAGAUGUUGUUCCUUGAUCUACUAGUUUUAGUGAAGUUGUAGGAAUGUUGAUGGAUGCUUAGUUUAAGUUUCUUUGUCAAGAUAAUGGGUAGAUUAUGCAUCACAUCUGGAUGAUGUUUCUCCUGUAAUAUCCACUAUUGUAAUCCAACAUUUUUAUCUAAUAUAUCCUUUUUCCUCUUAUG